GUCCAAAUUGCCCGUGAAAGUGGCCAAUCCUUCAUAUCAGGAAGAAUGUGCAGUUCCAAAGGUCCAGACCAAGUCAGAGGAGAAUGUUUCCUUACCAGGAAAACCUGCCACCUCAUAUGGCCUGAGGUCCAGGGUGCCUUUGGGAAAUGCAGCAAACAAACUGAACAACAACGCCAAAGGAAUUAAAACAAAUACCGGUGUUCACGUCAAACCAGCUCAACGUAAGCAGAGUGCUACUGAAAGAGUCCGUGUUGUUAUUUCAAAGGACGACAAGGAGAACACUGGGGCUGGCAACUGUGACC
This is a long non-coding RNA of Coregonus clupeaformis (lake whitefish), 302 nucleotides long. RefSeq lists it as uncharacterized. The transcript has 3 exons. NCBI's taxonomy places the organism in Eukaryota, Metazoa, Chordata, Actinopteri, Salmoniformes, Salmonidae. The record is from RefSeq and is a predicted model, not a curated record.